Molecule: long non-coding RNA, 2561 nt
Organism: Mirounga angustirostris (Northern elephant seal)
Lineage: Eukaryota; Metazoa; Chordata; Mammalia; Carnivora; Phocidae
Exons: 6
Source: RefSeq, a predicted model, not a curated record
UUCACGUUGCAGAUUCCCCGGUGGGAAGGUAGGAGAUGCAGUGGAAAGAACACUGGCCUGGUGUUGGGGCAUCUAUGUUCCAACCCUGCAUCUGCUCCUAACUAGCCAAGUCUGGAUGGCCAGAUCUGUGCGGCAGGGUUCCUCAGGAUAUUCCUCAUGAUAAGCACUGUGCCUGACCCACAUUAUUGGACUGUUAUGCAGUGUUGAGAUGGAGCAUGGACUGAUUGUCAGAAGAUUGAGGUUCAAGUUCUGCUACCAUUUUUCUGAAGCCAUGAGCCCUUGGUCCCUUCGGGCUGCCUGAGGCUCCCUGAUCUAUAAAAUGGGACCAAUGAUGAGCAUGAAAGCUCUUUGAGAACUCCACAGUGCUGAGCAGGGAAGGAGUUUCUGUGAAGUGCCACACACUACGCCAACAGUGCAAGGUAGAAAGAAAUGAUUAAGCCCGAUUAUCUCCAAGGCACCUGCCAGCGGGGACAUUCUAUGAAACAGUGAAAUCAGGAAAAAUGUGAAGCAUGUUAAGUGAAGGUUUGCAUACAGGAUGGAGCAAAGUUCACAGAACAAUCUGCAGCAGAGGUAAGCUGCAACCGCCAAGCCUCCGGGGAAUGUGUGAAGCCGUAAAUCUCACUGAUCCAGACUGGGAGCAAGAUGUUGUGUCUGAACACCCUCAGAACAGAGAACCAGAAUCUCCGAGUUCCUGUCACCACCCCCCACCCCCGCCCCCUGCUUUUACCUGUGUCACCCAAACUCUCCGGGGAUGGCAACAUCUACCUCACAUAUUACUGUGAUGAUUAAAUGUGAAAACACAUAUGAAAGGUCUUUGUAAACUCUGAACUGCUUUAUACAUGGAAAAUAUAAUUAAUAUUCAUGAAGGAGGAAGAAAUAAAAGGGCACCUUAAAGAAUGAAUAGGCACUACCUAAGUGAAUAGCUGGGUGUCAGACACUAGAGUACGUACUUCAUAAAAAUCAAUCAUUUAACCCUCUUGACAUGAGGUAGGGGCUAUUAUUUUUCCCAUUCUACAGAUAAAAAACCUCGCACCCUGGGAGUUUAAGUAACUAGCUUGGGAUCACCCUGACAGUAAGUGGCAAAGCUAGGGCUCACACCAGAGGAGGCUAGCUGCAGAAUCGGUACGUUUAACCAAUGUGUCCUUCUGCCACCCUGCAUGGAAAAAUGUUUUCUAAUCCAAGUUAAUUCCAGCCAAUAAACUUGGCCUGAGAGACAGACUGGGCACUGGGCACAUGAUGAUGAAGACACAGGAGUGUCAGCAAAUAAGGAAAGACUCUAAGGAAUAAGGAAAUAGAUACCACAAAUAUGACUGGUAUUGGAAUAACGUAAAGAAAAAUGUGGAGAUGGAAAAGAGGAGGAGUGUUCCAGAGGCUCUGCAUUUAACAGACUAAGGAACUAGGUGGUGGAUGAAGAGAAGUUCAAGACCUAGAUCUCCUGGAGGCAGCAGCCCGUCAAGCAUGGUGUGAGUGGAGCAGAAGAGGGGCAGCGCACAGGGGGAAUGGAAGGAGCAUGGAGCCCAAGUCAGGGCUGGGCUCGUGUCCUCUUUCCGUCCUUGACUUGCUGUGUAGCCCUAGACAAGUCACUUCGCUUCUCUGAGCUUCAGUGUCCUCUUCUGAAAAGUGAAGUUAACAAGAACACUGACCUCACCGGGGCAAAUGAAAAACUGGAUGUGAAAGGGCUUUGUAAAUGGCAACGUGAGGCGAUUUCAUUGAUCAUCUGAAGGCGGGGAAUUACCUGAAGGCAGGGAGGGGAGUCCUAGGCUGGGUGAAAAUUUGCUUUGCCAAUCUCAACAUUGUACUAAGUGUUGGCCCUGCGAAAAAAGCCUGAUACAACUGGACAUUCUCUUAUUAUAGAAAAUGACAAACCUGUGUUUGAUCCCAGAGUUGUCACAUUCCUCCAGGAGUGCAGACUUUUAUGGGCCCCUGGAAGCUCUGCCCGGACUAUUUCUGAGGACAGGGACAUUGUGCCUUAUUGGCAAGGCCUAUUAAACCAAGGCCACUUGUGGUCAUUGAAGAAUCUAGGUCUGCCUUUGCAAUGGUGGGAAAGAGUUGUCAGGUCCUGUCCUCUGAUGUUUGUGGAUUUGGUUACACUGUUCUGCUAAGCUUGGUGCCUUCUGCUUCCUUGUUUGCUGAGGGUCUUUUUCUAGUCUAGUUAGGGGGACUGAGAAGUGGGAGAAGAGAAUGGAGCAGGUCUGAAUCAAAGACAAGUAGCAGAGGUAGGAAUGAGUAAGAAUAAUAUGUUCUCUCUGGGAAUUUGUACAAGGGCAAGGCUAAUGAGACUUUGUUUUCAAUUACUUAAAAUGUAGUCUGUCAUUGAAAAGAUGAUGUAAUGGCUUUAAGACAGAAAACAAGCCAGAGUCUAACACCACAUUCAGCUACUUGUAUUUUUGCACAUCCUUGCCUAUUUCUGUUGUCAUCAUCAUGCAUGCAUAAUGCACAUUUCAUUUUAUGGCCUGAUUUUUUUCACUUAACAUUAGAUAAUAAGCAUUUUCCUUUUGAAGUCUGCAUUUUAGUGAAUAGACAAUCUAAUUUUGGAUACUGUAUGAUAAUAAAAUUAUCCU